ACUUCCCAUCAGCCCUUGAGGCUGCAGGGACCAGCCCUUUGGUAGGUGCGCUUUGCUUCCUAACCCGUUGCCGGGUUGGAGAUUCCACCUCCGAAGUUUUCUUUCUGACUUUUGAUUUUACAUUCCUAGUACAGUGGAGAAGCCCAGGCGGCCUAGAAUCCAGUGUCGUCCGUGAGUGCUUGGCUGGUGUUCAAGUGCAUCUUCCAGCCUGAGACCGCGUGGACUCGCUCAUCGUGAGGGCGAGAGGAGGAUAAGCCCAUUGGGCUGUCGGCUGAGAGUGAGGUGCGGGAUUGCUGAUGAAAUCCUUGGCAUCGUCGGAGAUCUCAUCGAAUGCCUCGUCGUCGAAGUCCCAGGUGGCUGAGGUAACGUUGGCCAAGGUUUCGUUAUCGUUGUCUCCCAUGAAGGGGGAAAGGCCACUGACUCUGGAGAGACAAGAGCAGGACAGCAGGUGUGGCUAGGAGAGGGCGCGACGACCAGAUGAGGGAAUUGAGGCACAGCCCAGGCUCAAGUCACCUGCCCAAAGAUUCACAGCCAGUGAGAUUGGAAGCCAGGUAUCUGCCUCUAGAGCCUGUCCUCUUAAAUGCUAUACUAUCCUAACAUUUCUGUAAAGAUGAAGUAAAUUGCAGUGUUCAGCACUGGCACCAGGCCUGGUCCACAGUAAGGAGGCGGUCCAUGCCCGGAGAUCUCAUGCAGUUCUGCUGGGUUCCCUCCACUGCCUUACCAAGCUGUGAGUGCAGGAAUGACUUUGUGACCAGCAGCUUAAGCCAAAUAAACUUUAUAAGGUAAAGAAUUUCAAAACAAAAAAAAAAAAAAA
RNAcentral lists this long non-coding RNA (814 nucleotides) under Homo sapiens (human). RNAcentral's name for it is "MYLK antisense RNA 1 (MYLK-AS1)". Lineage: Eukaryota; Metazoa; Chordata; Mammalia; Primates; Hominidae. The record is from RNAcentral.